CAGAGGUCCCGAGCGUUGUUCGGAUUCACUGGGCGUAAAGGGUGCGUAGGUGGCCUAAAAAGUUUGAUGUGAAAGCUCAGGGCUUAACCCUGAAAUGGCAUUGAAUACUGUUGGGCUGGAGGUUUGGAGGGGGGACUGGAAUUCUUGGUGUAGCAGUGAAAUGCGUAGAUAUCAAGAGGAACACCAGUGGCGAAGGCGAGUCCCUGGACAACACCUGACACUGAGGCACGAAAGCUAGGGGAGCAAACAGG
This 251-nucleotide ribosomal RNA is filed under the name uncultured bacterium. Its description in RNAcentral is "partial 16S ribosomal RNA". It matches the Rfam family "Bacterial small subunit ribosomal RNA", at positions 526 to 776 of the family's 1533-position model. The record is from RNAcentral.